This 292-nucleotide ribosomal RNA is filed under the name uncultured bacterium. Its description in RNAcentral is "partial 16S ribosomal RNA". It matches the Rfam family "Archaeal small subunit ribosomal RNA", at positions 455 to 747 of the family's 1478-position model. The record is from RNAcentral.
GUGCCAGCCGCGCGGUAAUACCGGCAGCCCGAGUGAUGGCCGAUCUUAUUGGGCCUAAAGCGUCCGUAGCUGGCCGCGCAAGUCCAUCGGAGAAUCCACCCGCCCAACGGGUAGGCGUCCGGUGGAAACUGUGUGGCUUGGGACCGGAAGGCGCGACGGGUACGUUCGGGGUAGGAGUGAAAUCCCAUAAUCCCGCACGGACCACCGAUGGCGAAAGCACUUCGAGAAAACGGAUCCGACAGUGAGGGACGAAAGCCAGGGUCUCCAACCGGAUUAGAAACCCCUGUAGUCC